RNAcentral lists this ribosomal RNA (2865 nucleotides) under Haloferacaceae archaeon YAN. RNAcentral describes it as "23S ribosomal RNA". It matches the Rfam family "Archaeal large subunit ribosomal RNA". The record is from RNAcentral. Lineage: Archaea; Methanobacteriati; Methanobacteriota; Halobacteria; Halobacteriales; Haloferacaceae.
CUGGUGAAUAGCUCGGCUUGAGAGCUGAAGACGGACGUGCCAAGCUGCGAAAAGCCUGAGGAAGCCGCAUGGAGGCGAAGAACUCAGGAUCUCCAAAUGGGAAUCCCUCUAACAAUUGCCACGCGCAAUAGGGAACGUCGGGAACUGAAACAUCUUAGUACCGAUAGGAAAAGAACGCAACAGCGAUAUCGUUAGUAACGGCGAGUAAACGCGACACAGUCCAAACCGAAGCCCCUCGGGGCAAUGUGGUGUCCGGACUGACUUUCAUCGAGCGAACUGGAAACUGAAGUCUCUUGGAAUAGAGCGUGAAACAGGGUGACAACCCCGUAAGUUUUCGUAGUACCUCGUGCGUCAGCUCCAGAGUAGCGGGGGUCGGAUAUCCCUCGUGAAUGCAUCUGGCAUCCCCAGAUAAGACUAAACACUCCUCAAGACCGAUAGUGAACAAGUAGCGUGAGCGAACGCUGAAAAGCACUCCAAGACGGACCGUGCAAUAGAGCUUGAAAUCAGUCGGCGAUAGAACGACAGAGCAUACAAGGCCACUUACAGAAUGACCUACGUGCGAACGUACAGUAAGGUGUAAGUGGAGCCGAUGUUGUGUCGUGCGUUUUGAAAAACGAACCAGAGAGUGUACUUCGAUGACGAGUCUAACCUGCGAACCAGGGAAGGCGAAGCGAAAGCGACAAGGCCGCAGCAUUGCGAGGGCCGCCGUGUUCAUAGCGCGGGGAGUCAUCGGGGUACGACCCGAAACCGAGUGAUCUAUGCGCAAACAGGGUGAAGCGUGCCGAAAGGUGCGUGGAGGCCCGUUAGGUGGUGUCCUACAAUACCCUCCCGUGAUUUGUGCAUAGGGGUGAAAGGCCCAUCGAACUCGGCAACAGCUGGUUCCGACCGAAACAUGUCGAAGCAUGACCUCAACCGAGAUAGUCCAUGAGGUAGAGCGACCGAUUGGGAAUCCGGACUCCGAGAGGAGUUCGCUUCCUGUCAAACUCGAACUUAUGGACGUUGUAGACGUUGGGAGUCCGGUGUGCGGGGUAAGCUUGUGCACCGUGAGGGAGACAACCCAGAGCUGGUUAAGGACCCAAAAUGUGGAUUAAGUGCUAUCGAAGGUAGUCUCAAGCCCUAAACAGCCGGGAGGUGAGCUUAGAAGCAGCAACCCUCUAAGAAAAGCGUAACAGCUUACCGGCCGAGGUUUGAGGCGCCCAAAAUGAUCGGGGCUCAAAUCCACUUCCGAUACCUAGCGGCAAACAGAUCGCGUAGGUCGGCGUAGUGUGUGGGUGGAAGCACGGGUGAGAACUCGUGUGGACCACGCAGUAACGAAAAUUCUGGUCACAGUAGCAGCGAGAGUCGGGUGAGAACCCCGACGGCCUUACGAGCAAGGGUUCCUCGGCACCGCCAAUCAGCCGAGGGUUAGUCGAUCCUAAGUCUGCCCGUAAUUCGAAGCAGACAAAUGGGAAACAGGUUAAUAUUCCUGUACCACUCUCAACUCAAAGCUGACGCUUUGGGAACCAUCGAGCCACGCUUUCGCGUGGUCGAAUCAAGGAAAUCCGUGGAAGCUGUAACAGCACGAAGCGGACGAAGCUUGAAACAGCGAAAGUCGAUGUUACCUAGAGCCCGUGAAAAAGCGAUGAGAGUGAUCGUACCAAGAUCCGACACAGGUGCUCAGGCAGAGAAAGCCAAGGCCUGUCGGGAUAACCGACGUUAGGGAAUUCGGCAAGUUAGUCCCGUACGUUCGCAAUAAGGGAUGCCUGCUCUGCAGAGAGCAGGUCGCAGAAACUAGGGCGCUCCGACUGUCUAGUAACAACACAGGUGACCGCAAAUCCGCAAGGACUCGUACGGUCACUGAAUCCUGCCCAGUGCGGGUAUCUGAACACCUCGUACAAGAGGACGAAGGACCCGUCAACGGCGGGGUAACUAUGACCCUCUUAAGGUAGCGUAGUACCUUGCCGCUUCAGUAGCGGCUUGCAUGAAUGGAUAAACGAGAGCGCCACUGUCCCAACGUUGGACCCGGUGAACUGUACGUUCCAGUGCGGAGUCUGGAGACCCCCAAGGGGAAGCGAAGACCCUAUAGAGCUUUACUGCAGGCUGUCGCUGAGACGUGGUCGCUAAUGUGCAGCAUAGGUAGGAGCCGUUACACAGGUACCCGCGCCAGCGGGCCACCGAGGCAACAUUGAAAUACUACCCGUUAGUGACUGCGACUCUCACUCUUAGCAGAGGACACCGGUAGCUGGGCAGUUUGACUGGGGCGGUACGCGCUCGAAAAGAUAUCGAGCGCGCCCCAAGGUUCUCUCAUUCGAGUCGGGAACUCGAAGAAGAGCGCAAGAGCAUAAGAGAGCCUGACAGUGACAUUCCUAACGAGUGUCGCUGACGUGAAAACGUGGUCUAGCGAACCUACGAGGCCUAUUGAUGAGGCCCGUAGAUGACAGAAAAGCUACCUUAGGGAUAACAGAGUCGUCACCCGCAAGAGCACAUAUCGACCGGGUGGCUUGCUACCUCGAUGUCGGUUCCCUCCAUCCUGCCCGUGCAGAAGCGGGCAAGGGUGAGGUUGUUCGCCUAUUAAAGGAGGUCGUGAGCUGGGUUUAGACCGUCGUGAGACAGGUCGGCUGCUAUCUAUUGGGGGUGUAAGGUACUUGAUGUGAACGUUCGUAUAGUACGAGAGGAACUACGAAUGGGCGCCACUGGUGUACCGGUUGUCCGAGAGGGCAGAUGCCGGGUAGCCACGCGCCGAAGGGUAAGAGCUGAACGCAUCUAAGCUCGAAACCUGCAUAGAAACGAAGUACCACCGAGGUCACUCAUAGAAGAUGAGUUCGAUAGACUCGGGGUGUGCGCACCGAGGCAACGAGGUGUUAAGCCCACGAGCACUAACAGACC